Molecule: ribosomal RNA, 390 nt
Filed under: fungal sp.
Lineage: Eukaryota; Fungi
Description: SSU rRNA
Rfam family: Eukaryotic small subunit ribosomal RNA
Source: RNAcentral
CGUGCGGUUCUAUUUUGUUGGUUUCUAGGACCGCCGUAAUGAUUAAUAGGGACAGUCGGGGGCAUCAGUAUUCAAUUGUCAGAGGUGAAAUUCUUGGAUUUAUUGAAGACUAACUACUGCGAAAGCAUUUGCCAAGGAUGUUUUCAUUAAUCAGGAACGAAAGUUAGGGGAUCGAAGACGAUCAGAUACCGUCGUAGUCUUAACCGUAAACGAUGCCGACUAGGGAUCGGACGGUGUUAUUACUUGACCCGUUCGGCACCUUACGAGAAAUCAAAGUGCUUGGGCUCCAGGGGGAGUAUGGUCGCAAGGCUGAAACUUAAAGAAAUUGACGGAAGGGCACCACCAGGGGUGGAGCCUGCGGCUUAAUUUGACUCAACACGGGGAAACUCA